This is a long non-coding RNA of Entelurus aequoreus (snake pipefish), 548 nucleotides long. RefSeq lists it as uncharacterized. The transcript is spliced from 3 exons. NCBI's taxonomy places the organism in Eukaryota, Metazoa, Chordata, Actinopteri, Syngnathiformes, Syngnathidae. The record is from RefSeq and is a predicted model, not a curated record.
UUGAUCUUCAUCAGACUCCAGUAUAAUGAGGCCCUCAUCUAGUAGAUGGAACGUUUACUUGUCACUAGCGCUACAACAGUCCUCUUGCUUUUUGCUUUCCUCGUGCCUUCCAGCCGUCACUGAGCUCCUCUCGCUCCCCGUCCGACCCCCCUCAUGGUCUCCGACGCUGCUAAUAAAGGAACAGGGAACGCAUGGACCACGGCCCUUCCACAUGCCUCCACCGUCAGACUCAGGCCGGGCAGUCGUCCGGCGGCGGCGACUCCCUCCCCUCCCCCCUGCCCCCCUCCCAUAGCAGGGCGAGAGAGGAAGUCGGCCACGGCCAUCUGUGUGCCCGGCCUGUGGACCACCCGGAAGUUGUAGGGCUGCAACGCAAUGUACCACCAGGUGAUCCACGCGUUGGCGUCCUUCAUGCGGUGGAGCCAUUGGAGCGGUUUGUGGUCCGAGCAGAGACUGAAGGCGCGCCCCAACAGGUAGUAGCGGAGGGCCCCGACCGCCCACCGGAUGGCGAGGCAAUCCCUCUCCACCGUGCUGUACCUCGCCUCCCGGUC